This 424-nucleotide ribosomal RNA is filed under the name Verrucomicrobiota bacterium. Its description in RNAcentral is "Verrucomicrobia bacterium partial 16S ribosomal RNA". It matches the Rfam family "Bacterial small subunit ribosomal RNA", at positions 355 to 776 of the family's 1533-position model. Lineage: Bacteria; Pseudomonadati; Verrucomicrobiota. The record is from RNAcentral.
UGAGGAAUAUUGGUCAAUGGACGAGAGUCUGAACCAGCCAAGUAGCGUGCAGGAUGACGGCCCUAUGGGUUGUAAACUGCUUUUGUUUGGGAAUAAUCGACAUUACGUGUAAUGUUUUGCAUGUACCAUUCGAAUAAGGACCGGCUAAUUCCGUGCCAGCAGCCGCGGUAAUACGGAAGGUCCAGGCGUUAUCCGGAUUUAUUGGGUUUAAAGGGAGUGUAGGCGGCAGUACAAGUCGGGAGUGAAAACUCGGGGCUCAACCCCGAGACUGCUCUCGAAACUGUACAGCUAGAGUGCAGGAAGGGCAGGCGGAAUUCCUGGUGUAGCGGUGAAAUGCGUAGAUAUCAUGAAGAACUCCGAUUGCGAAGGCAGCUUACGGGAGUGUUACUGACGCUUAAGCUCGAAGGUGCGGGUAUCGAACAGG